UGCGUAGGUGGUUUCUUAAGUCAGAGGUGAAAGGCUACGGCUCAACCGUAGUAAGCCUUUGAAACUGGGAAACUUGAGUGCAGGAGAGGAGAGUGGAAUUCCUAGUGUAGCGGUGAAAUGCGUAGAUAUUAGGAGGAACACCAGUUGCGAAGGCGGCUCUCUGGACUGUAACUGACACUGAGGCUCGAAAGCGUGGGGAGCAACA
This 205-nucleotide ribosomal RNA is filed under the name uncultured bacterium. Its description in RNAcentral is "partial 16S ribosomal RNA". It matches the Rfam family "Bacterial small subunit ribosomal RNA", at positions 568 to 773 of the family's 1533-position model. The record is from RNAcentral.